GCCCGGAUGGUGAAAUUGGUAGACACAGCGGACUUAAAAUCCGUCGCCGUUGAAGGACGGCAUACCGGUUCGACCCCGGUUCCGGGCACCA
RNAcentral lists this transfer RNA (91 nucleotides) under Pseudacidovorax intermedius. RNAcentral's name for it is "tRNA-Leu". It matches the Rfam family "tRNA". From Rfam's summary of the family: Transfer RNA (tRNA) molecules are approximately 80 nucleotides in length. Lineage: Bacteria; Pseudomonadati; Pseudomonadota; Betaproteobacteria; Burkholderiales; Comamonadaceae. The record is from RNAcentral.